CCCUUAGAUGUUCUGGGCCGCACGCGCGCUACACUGAUGCAUUCAACAAGUUUUACCUUGGCCGAGAGGCCUGGGAAAUCUUUCAAAUAUGUAUCGUGAUAGGGAUAGAUUAUUGCAAUUAUUAAUCUUGAACGAGGAAUUCCUAGUAAAUGCAGAUCAUCAUUCUGCGUUGAUUACGUCCCUGCCCUUUGUACACACCGCCCGUCGCACCUACCGAUUGAAUGAUCCGGUGAAGCCUCGGGAUUGUGCCCAGAGAACUUUAUUGUGAUUUGGGCGUGAGAACUUGUCUAAACCUUAUCAUUUAGAGGAAGGUGAAGUCGUAACA
RNAcentral lists this ribosomal RNA (325 nucleotides) under uncultured eukaryote. RNAcentral's name for it is "partial 18S ribosomal RNA". It matches the Rfam family "Eukaryotic small subunit ribosomal RNA", at positions 1470 to 1796 of the family's 1831-position model. The record is from RNAcentral.